UCAUCUGAAAGAGAGAACUCAUCUGCUUUUAAAAGCCAAGAACAGUCCAUGGCGUCCAUUCCUCUGCCAAAAGCAUAAUGCUGACUCAAUCUAGAAAACAUCGCUUUGAUCAAAGCUAAGUCAUUAUCCCCAAGACAUGCUCUUUCUCUUGUAUCUUCUGAAUGGACUUUCAUUUUCCCUCUUCUAUUUUUAUACUUAACUUGUCUAUCUUUGAAUACAUAUUAGAUUAUAAGAACAUCUAUUCUGUUAAAUAUUUUGGUGCAAAAAUAGCAUUUCAGCCUGGGGAUAUAGCUCAGCGGCAUAGUACCUGCCUGGCAAAUCCAAGGUAGUGAGUUUGAUCCCCAGUGCCAAAAAAAAAAGAAAGAAAGAAAGAAAGAAAGAAACAACAAAAAAGAAAAAUGAUAUUGCACUUAUAUUUCAUGUUCCAUAUUUUAAAAUAUGAACACAAAUAUAUAAACACACACAUGCACAUAGUUAUGUAUAGCAUCUAUCACAUAUAUGUGUAAGUACACACAUAUUCAGCUAUACAUUUCUCAUGAGUAAAGUAUUUAUACACAGAAAUCUCUCACAUGCCAUAUCUAUGAUUAUAUAAUGAAAACAACAUUCUCAGGAAGAAGGACUCUUCUGUUCCCAUGAAUGUUUCCCAGAGCAGAUGGGAUUUGUGCAGCUUGAGCAUAUGAGCUGAGCCCAUCUUCCGCUUUAUUUUAUCUGCUCAAAUGGUUUUUAAAAAUUCUGUUCUUAGAGAACUAAAAAUAAGCAGCCUACACUGAGCCCACAUGCUCAAAGAUAUAAAAUAAUAGUCCAGGAAUACAGCAUUCCCAGUCCCUCUGUAAUGAAGUACGGAGGAGCACCAUUCACAGGCCCAGAGGACCACGGAAGCGGCCAGGCAGCUCAGCGCACUCCUACCCUAACCAGACUGGUAUAGGGACUCUCUUCUUUGCAGGCUGAUUAAUGAACACUGGGUUUGCCAUGUGAAUGACUGGAUGGCAGUGAACAGGCUCAAUGGUACUGUUAGCCAAAAAGAACUUUUGGGCUGCAGCCAUGUUCACCUGCAGCACUGCCUUAGUCUUCUGACCGUCCUUACUCCAUUGAAACCUGAGGACGAGACAACCGGUCAGUGAAUGCAAAGCUCCCUGGGACACACCUUUGAUGCCCUAUGCUCAGGCUGGGUAUGAGAAGGCCCCCAGGGGACCUUGGUAGUGGCCAGAAGUCAUUGGAGGGAAUUCUGCUCACGUGUGGGUAGCAGAUCAAGAAACAGAACUGUAGAGGGUUAAACACGGAAGGAGUUGUCUAGGUCACCCAGCCAACUCAUCUUCUAAAUGAAAGACAAGUUCAGAAGGUGACUGGCUUGUCCACCCUCACAGCUUUGAGCUGCUGCAAGGCCCUUUGUGUGCGAAUCUCUGGAGAAUAAAGAAAGGGUUCCACCGUCAGACUCUUUGUAGGAAAUACCUAUUGCCCCAUAAUUGCUCCCUUCAGGUGUGCUGGCCGCAAUGGGAUGGGACACUGCCAUAUUUCCAGAACCUGUGAAAAGAAAUCAGAGUCAAACAUUUAAUGUCUAGCUGUUAAAACAACAGGACUCUAAUCAGUUCAACUCAUCAGGCCAUAGCAUUUGAAAUUUGAUUUUCUUUCUGCUUUAAUACAGUAGCCACCAAAUCUAGCCUGCUACUUGUUUUUCUACAGCACUUAAAUCAAGAUUUUAAAAGUUUGGGGAAAAAAUAAAAAGAACAUUUCAUGGUAGGUAAAAAAUUAUAUAUAAUUCAAAUUUUAGUAUUCACAUAUAAAGGUCUAUUGAAACACAACCAUGCUUUUUUUGGGUACAAAUAUGACUGCUUUUGUGCUAGAAUGGCACAGUUGAAGUAGUUGUAACUUAGAUUCUACAGCCCAAAGAGCCUUGCAUAAUUACUAUUUGAUUCUUUACAGAAAAAAUGAGCUGAUUCCUGCCUGACAGUAUUGCAGAAUCACAAGAAUUAAGUAGUCUGAGUCUGGAAUUGCUGUGGAGAAGGUCACCACUGAAUAGAAACACCAGAAAUAAACUGCUGUUAAGAAGUCCUAGUAAUUUGGAGGGUUUUAAAGAAGUACCAUUUAGCAGUACCCUGACUACAGGCAGGAAGUCCAAGUAAGGAGGAAGAUAUUGAAUUCACUGGAGCAACAACUGACCACAACAUGAACUAAGGAUUUGCCUGUGAGGAUCUUUAAAAAUGGGCCACUGGAUGUGAAGAAAACGGAGCCAUGCUGUACUGCUGCUAGAGAUGUGGAACGAUGCAGUUACGCUGGAGAACACUUGGACAUCUCCUCAAAGAGUUAAACAUGGAGUUAUCAUAUGACCCAGCAAUUGCACUUGCAGGGAUUUACAGCAUUCAUUCAUCAGUUUACAGAUACAGUUUGCACACUAUAAAUUUACUCUUCAAGGAGUUUUUGUACACUCCCAAAUUUAUGUAACUAUUACUAUUAGCUUAUCUUAGAGAAUUUUCAUUACUGCGAAAUUAAACCCUGCACCCAUAGGUGAUUACUCCUCAUUGCCUUUUUGCUCCAGAUCCAGGCAACCACUGAUGUACUUUAAAAAUUUUUUUUUUUAAUUUUGAGACAGUAUUUUGCUGCAUAAUCCAGACUGGUCUUACACUCACUAUGUAGACCUAGCUGGUCCUCAAAUUCCUGGUGAUUACACUAAGCCUGCAAGGAUUAUCCAAGAUGAUUUUAUCACAUCCUAAAGUUCUCUUUGCUAUGUAAUAGCACAUUGACAGAACUAACAUCUGGACAGAUUUGGGGGCCAUUAUUCUGUCUGCCACAACAUUUUAACAUAAAAUCUCUAAUCCACAAACAUGAGAACUCUUUAAAAACUUGCUUUACUUAUUUGGGCUUUAAGUUUCUUUCAGUGAUGUUUUGUAGUUUUGAACAUACAAAUAAUACACUUACUUUGUGAAAUUUAUUCUUCAAUGUUAAGUUUUUGUGAAUUGAGUUCUCUAAUAAUUUCAUUUUUGUAUUGUCUAUUGCUUGUAUAUGAAAAUAUAACUGAUUUUUGUAUGUUGAUCUCAUAUCCUGCAAUCCCAUUUAACUCAGAGUUACUUUUUGGAGUAAUGAAGAUACUCUGAAAUUAGAUAUUCAGUGGUGACGAUUGUCUUACUGUGAUUAUACUAGAAAUUCCAGAAUAGUAUAUUUUAAAGGGGUGAAUUUUAUGAUUUAUGAUUUUUCUCAGUAAAACUGUUUUUAACAAGCCAGAUAGACAUUUGGGAAUGUCUAAAAUUGACCCUUCAUUCUGAAUGUAAGUUUAGAGGGGCUGGAAGUGGUCAUGCUUUGGGUACAUUUUUCUUAAUUUACUUCUUAUUUAUUUCCUGGUGGGGACCUUGUUCCUGUGUGACUAUGGAAGAACUUCCCUUUAACACUCUUUUGUUCCUAGAUAUGCCAACCUCAUCCCUACCUUGGGACCUUUGCUUUUCCUCUGACAGAGUUGCUCUCUCCCUAGAUCCCUGGAUGGCUGGCUCUUUCUUGUAAUUCAGGUCUUGUUCUGAGAGGUUCUUUUUCCUGAUUAAAUCAAAUCCAAAAUGGU
Molecule: long non-coding RNA, 3544 nt
Organism: Cavia porcellus (domestic guinea pig)
Lineage: Eukaryota; Metazoa; Chordata; Mammalia; Rodentia; Caviidae
Exons: 2
Source: RefSeq, a predicted model, not a curated record